RNAcentral lists this ribosomal RNA (793 nucleotides) under uncultured archaeon. RNAcentral's name for it is "bacterial SSU rRNA". It matches the Rfam family "Archaeal small subunit ribosomal RNA", at positions 85 to 876 of the family's 1478-position model. The record is from RNAcentral.
ACGGCUCAGUAACACGUGGAUAACCUGCCCUUGGGUCCGGCAUAACCCCGGGAAACUGGGGAUAAUACCGGAUAACGCACAUAUGCUGGAAUGCUUUAUGCGUAAAAUGGAUUCGUCUGCCCAAGGAUGGGUCUGCGGCCUAUCAGGUAGUAGUGGGUGUAAUGUACCUACUAGCCAACAACGGGUACGGGUUGUGAGAGCAAGAGCCCGGAGAUGGAUUCUGAGACAUGAAUCCAGGCCCUACGGGGCGCAGCAGGCGCGAAAACUUUACAAUGCGGGAAACCGUGAUAAGGGGACACCGAGUGCCAGCAUCAUAUGCUGGCUGUCCGGGUGUGUAAAAUACACCUGUCAGCAAGGGCCGGGCAAGACCGGUGCCAGCCGCCGCGGUAACACCGGCGGCCCGAGUGGUGAUCGUGAUUAUUGGGUCUAAAGGGUCCGUAGCCGGUUUGGUCAGUCCUCCGGGAAAUCUGACGGCUCAACCGUUAGGCUUUCGGGGGAUACUGCCAGGCUUGGAACCGGGAGAGGUAAGAGGUACUACAGGGGUAGGAGUGAAAUCUUGUAAUCCUUGAAGGACCACCAGUGGCGAAGGCGUCUCACCAGAACGGACCUGACGGCAAGGGACGAAAGCUAGGGGCACGAACCGGAUUAGAUACCCGGGUAGUCCUAGCCGUAAACGAUACUCGCUAGGUGUCAGCCACGGUGCGACCGUGGUUGGUGCCGUAGGGAAGCCGUGAAGCGAGCCACCUGGGAAGUACGGCCGCAAGGCUGAAACUUAAAGGAAUUGGCGGGGGAG